AUUGGUGCUUGCAUCAUGAUUUACAUUUGAGUGAGUGGCGAACUGGUGAGUAACACGUGGGAAACCUGCCCAGAAGCGGGGGAUAACACCUGGAAACAGAUGCUAAUACCGCAUAACAACUUGGACCGCAGGGUCCGAGUUUGAAAGAUGGCUUCGGCUAUCACUUUUGGAUGGUCCCGCGGCGUAUUAGCUAGAUGGUGGGGUAACGGCUCACCAUGGCAAUGAUACGUAGCCGACCUGAGAGGGUAAUCGGCCACAUUGGGACUGAGACACGGCCCAAACUCCUACGGGAGGCAGCAGUAGGGAAUCUUCCACAAUGGACGAAAGUCUGAUGGAGCAACGCCGCGUGAGUGAAGAAGGGUUUCGGCUCGUAAAACUCUGUUGUUAAAGAAGAACAUAUCUGAGAGUAACUGUUCAGGUAUUGACGGUAUUUAACCAGAAAGCCACGGCUAACUACGUGCCAGCAGCCGCGGUAAUACGUAGGUGGCAAGCGUUGUCCGGAUUUAUUGGGCGUAAAGCGAGCGCAGGCGGUUUUUUAAGUCUGAUGUGAAAGCCUUCGGCUCAACCGAAGAAGUGCAUCGGAAACUGGGAAACUUGAGUGCAGAAGAGGACAGUGGAACUCCAUGUGUAGCGGUGAAAUGCGUAGAUAUAUGGAAGAACACCAGUGGCGAAGGCGGCUGUCUGGUCUGUAACUGACGCUGAGGCUCGAAAGUAUGGGUAGCAAACAGGAUUAGAUACCCUGGUAGUCCAUACCGUAAACGAUGAAUGCUAAGUGUUGGAGGGUUUCCGCCCUUCAGUGCUGCAGCUAACGCA
Molecule: ribosomal RNA, 813 nt
Filed under: Lactiplantibacillus plantarum
Lineage: Bacteria; Bacillati; Bacillota; Bacilli; Lactobacillales; Lactobacillaceae
Description: bacterial SSU rRNA
Rfam family: Bacterial small subunit ribosomal RNA
Source: RNAcentral